AUUGAACGCUGGCGGCAGGCCUAACACAUGCAAGUCGAACGAGUGGCGGACGGGUGAGUAAUGCCUGGGAAACUGCCUGAUGGAGGGGGAUAACUACUGGAAACGGUAGCUAAUACCGCAUACCAUCGGAUGUGCCCAGGUGGGAUUAGAUAGUUGGUGUGGUAACGGCUCACCAAGGCGACGAUCCCUAGCUGGUCUGAGAGGAUGACCAGCCACACUGGAACUGAGACACGGUCCAGACUCCUACGGGAGGCAGCAGUGGGGAAUAUUGCACAAUGGGGGAAAGCCUGACGCAGCCAUGCCGCGUGUAUGAAGAAGGCCUUCGGGUUGUAAAGUACUUUCAGCGGGGAGGCGUUACCUGCAGAAGAAGCACCGGCUAACUCCGUGCCAGCAGCCGCGGUAAUUC
This 406-nucleotide ribosomal RNA is filed under the name uncultured bacterium. Its description in RNAcentral is "partial 16S ribosomal RNA". It matches the Rfam family "Bacterial small subunit ribosomal RNA", at positions 30 to 526 of the family's 1533-position model. The record is from RNAcentral.